Molecule: ribosomal RNA, 473 nt
Filed under: uncultured bacterium
Lineage: Bacteria
Description: bacterial SSU rRNA
Rfam family: Bacterial small subunit ribosomal RNA
Source: RNAcentral
CUCUGUGACUCCGUACGGGAGGCAGCAGUGGGGAAUAUGCACAAUGGGGGAAACCCUGAUGCAGCCAUGCCGCGUGUGUGAAGAAGGCCUUCGGGUUGUAAAGCACUUUCAGUAGGGAGGAAGGUAGUGUAGUUAACACCUGCAUUAUUUGACGUUACCUACAGAAGAAGCACCGGCUAACUCCGUGCCAGCAGCCGCGGUAAUACGGAGGGUGCGAGCGUUAAUCGGAAUUACUGGGCGUAAAGCGCAUGCAGGCGGCCUGUUAAGUCAGAUGUGAAAGCCCCGGGGCUUAACCUCGGAAUUGCAUUUGAAACUGGCAGGCUAGAGUCUUGUAGAGGGGGUAGAAUUUCAGGUGUAGCGGUGAAAUGCGUAGAGAUCUGAAGGAAUACCAGUGGCGAAGGCGGCCCCCCUGGACAAAGACUGACGCUCAGAUGCGAAAGCGUGGGGAGCAAACAGGAUUAGAUACCCUGGAG